GUACAUUAGUGCUUGCGCACGACAAUAAUUUCAUUACAUGCGAGUGGGUGUAAAAAUCCUCUGCCGGCCGAAGCUAGCAAGAGGCCAAAGGUUCACAGGGUAUUGGAUGAAAGCCACCGACGUGCACUUGCCGAAGCCAGCACUGACGGCGACGAUUCGCAAUCAAUAAUGAUCCUUCCGCAGGUUCACCUACGGAAA
Molecule: unclassified non-coding RNA, 198 nt
Filed under: uncultured fungus
Lineage: Eukaryota; Fungi
Description: sequence contains ITS1
Source: RNAcentral